AGGAAUCUGCCUGGUAGUGGGGGACAACGUUUCGAAAGGAACGCUAAUACCGCAUACGUCCUACGGGAGAAAGCAGGGGACCUUCGGGCCUUGCGCUAUCAGAUGAGCCUAGGUCGGAUUAGCUAGUAGGUGAGGUAAUGGCUCACCUAGGCGACGAUCCGUAACUGGUCUGAGAGGAUGAUCAGUCACACUGGAACUGAGACACGGUCCAGACUCCUACGGGAGGCAGCAGUGGGGAAUAUUGGACAAUGGGCGAAAGCCUGAUCCAGCCAUGCCGCGUGUGUGAAGAAGGUCUUCGGAUUGUAAAGCACUUUAAGUUGGGAGGAAGGGCAGUAAGUUAAUACCUUGCUGUUUUGACGUUACCAACAGAAUAAGCACCGGCUAACUUCGUGCCAGCAGCCGCGGUAAUAAU
RNAcentral lists this ribosomal RNA (412 nucleotides) under Pseudomonas aeruginosa. RNAcentral's name for it is "bacterial SSU rRNA". It matches the Rfam family "Bacterial small subunit ribosomal RNA", at positions 119 to 526 of the family's 1533-position model. Lineage: Bacteria; Pseudomonadati; Pseudomonadota; Gammaproteobacteria; Pseudomonadales; Pseudomonadaceae. The record is from RNAcentral.